GGGCAUCCUCCUGGUACCAAAGCUUUAUGUGCUGAAAGAUGGUCUCGCGUCUGAUUAGCUAGUUGGUGAGGUAACGGCUCACCAAGGCGACGAUCAGUAGCCGGUCUGAGAGGAUGAACGGCCACAUUGGGACUGAGAUACGGCCCAGACUCCUACGGGAGGCAGCAGUGGGGAAUAUUGGGCAAUAAGGGAAACCCUGACCCAGCAACGCCGCGUGAAGGAAGAAAGGGUUCGGGUUGUAAACUUCUUUACCAG
RNAcentral lists this ribosomal RNA (255 nucleotides) under uncultured bacterium. RNAcentral describes it as "partial 16S ribosomal RNA". It matches the Rfam family "Bacterial small subunit ribosomal RNA", at positions 186 to 441 of the family's 1533-position model. The record is from RNAcentral.